AAUUAAUGAGCUUGAUAUAAGCUUUUGCUUUGAAAGCAUAAGAUGAUAGUUUAAUCUAUCAUUAAUUU
Molecule: transfer RNA, 68 nt
Filed under: Mantispa japonica
Lineage: Eukaryota; Metazoa; Arthropoda; Insecta; Neuroptera; Mantispidae
Description: tRNA-Ser
Rfam family: tRNA
About the family: Transfer RNA (tRNA) molecules are approximately 80 nucleotides in length. Their secondary structure includes four short double-helical elements and three loops (D, anti-codon, and T loops).
Source: RNAcentral